Long non-coding RNA from Perognathus longimembris pacificus (Pacific pocket mouse), 1457 nucleotides. RefSeq lists it as uncharacterized. Lineage: Eukaryota; Metazoa; Chordata; Mammalia; Rodentia; Heteromyidae. The record is from RefSeq and is a predicted model, not a curated record. The transcript is spliced from 2 exons.
CUGGAAGUGGAGCUAUGGCUCAAGUAGUAAAGCACCAGUCUUAAGUGAAAAAAUUCAGUUCAAGCACUAGGACUAUCACACAUACAAAAAGGACAGCCAUCUUCGCUGACAGCCCCCUUUUCUCUUCCUUCCACUUUUACUUUUUUAUUAAAUAUUUUAUUCAGGCCGAUCUUAUUCGAGCAACCUCCAUGUUGGUUGUGAGAAAAAAGGCCGGGUAUGACAAUCUCCUAGACACCUUUCCAGGGCUGUUCACUCAGCUAAUGACAGCUCACAGCUGUCCUUGGGCUGCACAUGCUCUGCAAGACACUAGACGCCUGAGACUUCGAGGGGAGGCCUCUGCUAUGUUGGAGCUCAGUCUAAGUGAUGUUUUGGGAGGUGAGAUCAAGUCUGUAUGGAGAUCAGUGGAGGCACAGAGGUGCUGUGGAGGGGAGGCUGCCUAGAACAUUAAGAGGUAGAAGAAGGCAUCAGCCAGAUAAGCCAACAGGUAAUCAGGGGUCUGACUCCUGUAGCUCCAUGGGUAUGUUUUGGGGGGAGAGAGUGCACUCUGUGAUUAGUGUCCAGAUGUGAAGACUGAGCUCAUAGGUUGGAGAGGCCAGUAGGAACCCAGCUGGUCCCUGAAUGCCUGUUCCAGAGCUGGGCCUCCAUCGCAGUGCUAAGGAGCCUUAGAAGUGAUGGAAGCAGAAGGUAUUGUACUUCAGAAUAUAGCUAGAAAGGUACCUGUCAUAAUGAUGGAGAGAGCAGUCUGUGGUGCUGGCUAGCCUUUCAGGCUUAAGUCUGACCAGCGUGGAAACCAAGGUUAGAGAGAUAUAAGGUAGUCGGAGCAGGGGCUUCGGGACUGAGCACAGUGGUGGCUCCUGGGAGAAGUAGGGCAAUAGAGAUGGAAUGGAGAGAUUUUAAGAUAGCCAAUUAAAAAUUGUUUUUUUUUUUUUUAAAAUAGUAGCCUUAUUGAAAUAUGAUCCAAAAAUUAUAGUUAUUCUCUUAACUUGUACAAUUCAUUGGUUUUUAACAUAUUAGAAUGAUGCAUCCCUCACAGAUACCUAAUUGUAGAAUAUUUUUACUACCCCAAAAGAAAUCCUGGAUCCAUUUCAUGGUCAGUCUCCUUUUCCUCUACUCCCAGCUCCUGGCAACCACUAGCCAUUCUAUGUAUGGAUAUGCCUGUCCUGGACAUUUUGUUUUCAAAGCUGACAGGUGAAGUGCAUCGAAAGUGUGCUGUCCCGCAUGGCAGGCCUGUUAUCCCUGGGAAGCAGAAGGGCCUGAACGGCGUAUGCAGGAUGGUGAUUAUGUGGCAUCAGAACGUGGGCGACUGAGGUUCACUGCUGUUACGAUGUGUGCAUCAAAUUUAGAUUUUGUCACAGAUUCACCAGCAGUGAAGCUGGGCUAUCCUCAAAGAGGGGCCCUUGGAAUCAGUCUCCUGGGAAUAGGAGUUUGAUACAAUAAAAUGUUAUGAAGAAGCCUAA